GAUGAACGCUGGCGGCGUGCCUAAUACAUGCAAGUCGAGCGAACGGACGAGAAGCUUGCUUCUCUGAUGUUAGCGGCGGACGGGUGAGUAACACGUGGAUAACCUACCUAUAAGACUGGGAUAACUUCGGGAAACCGGAGCUAAUACCGGAUAAUAUUUUGAACCGCAUGGUUCAAAAGUGAAAGACGGUCUUGCUGUCACUUAUAGAUGGAUCCGCGCUGCAUUAGCUAGUUGGUAAGGUAACGGCUUACCAAGGCAACGAUGCAUAGCCGACCUGAGAGGGUGAUCGGCCACACUGGAACUGAGGCACGGUCCAGACUCCUGCGGGAGGCAGCAGUAGGGAAUCUUCCGCAAAGGGCGAAAGCCUGACAGAGCAACGCCGCGUGAGUGAUGAAGGUCUUCGGAUGGUAAAGCUCUGUUAUUAGGAGAGAACAUAUGUGUAAGUAACUGUGAACAUCUUGACGGUACCUAAUCAGAAAGCCACGGCUAACUACGUG
This 497-nucleotide ribosomal RNA is filed under the name uncultured bacterium. RNAcentral describes it as "partial 16S ribosomal RNA". It matches the Rfam family "Bacterial small subunit ribosomal RNA", at positions 28 to 507 of the family's 1533-position model. The record is from RNAcentral.